This 18-nucleotide microRNA is filed under the name Chiloscyllium plagiosum (whitespotted bambooshark). Its description in RNAcentral is "microRNA cpl-miR-365". Lineage: Eukaryota; Metazoa; Chordata; Chondrichthyes; Orectolobiformes; Hemiscylliidae. The record is from RNAcentral.
UAAUGCCCCUAAAAAUCC